AAUCAAGUUUAAUUAUUAGAUCAAUUAUCCAAUAAUUAAUUAUGGCCAAAUCCAAGUUCUAGAGUUUUCUCUAGAAAUAUCAUCAUUUCCACCUCCUUAAAAGAUUCUAGAAAUUUUCUAGAAUCAUCUUCCACCUCCUUAAACAUAAAAAUCUAGAUACUCUAAUAGAAUAAUCUAGAUAAUUUGAAUAAUGUAAUCUAGAUCUUAUGUAAGAACUCUCUAGACUUAGGAUUAAAAUAUUUUAGAUAUUUUGUAGUUUGGAGGCUAUAAAUACUUCCUCCCCCUCUCAAAUGUUGCAAUGUUGUGAAGUUGUAUUCAAGUUUAAAGCAAAGUAAUAAAAGUUCUAUUUCCUAAAAAACUCUCUCAAAACACUUAAACACUUUCUCCAUUACCUCUAAAAGAAUUUUACUCUAACAAAGUGGUAUCAGAGCUUGAAGAUCCUAAAGAUGGCGAGUAACAAUGUUCCCUUCCAAGUCCCGGUGCUCACAAAGAGCAACUAUGAUAAUUGGAGUCUACGAAUGAAGGCUAUCCUAGGAGCACAUGACGUGUGGGAGAUAGUCGAGAAAGGUUUCAUUGAACCGGAGAAUGAAGGUAGUCUUUCUCAAACUCAAAAAGAUGGUUUGAGAGACUCAAGAAAGAGAGACAAGAAAGCUCUCUGUCUAAUCUAUCAAGGAUUAGAUGAAGAUACGUUCGAGAAGGUCGUUGAAGCUACGUCGGCGAAAGAUGGUUUGGGAUUCUGAUUUUGAGUUUCCGUUGCAGUUAGGGUUUUAUAUU
Molecule: small RNA, 774 nt
Filed under: Arabidopsis thaliana (thale cress)
Lineage: Eukaryota; Viridiplantae; Streptophyta; Magnoliopsida; Brassicales; Brassicaceae
Description: ATSL048900
Source: RNAcentral